AUAAGAUAUUAAUUCACCGAUGAAAAGGUUACAAAUUAUAUACAAGGAAGCAGAAAAAAGUAAAAAAGAUGAAAGAAAAGAAGAAAUGAGAAAAACAAAUCCAACUAUUCAUUGUCAAAUUAAGAAUCAACGCGUAACAAGUUUUUCAUCUAACAACGAUCACGAUAAAUAAUUCAUCGUGAACAGGCCGCGAGUGAAAAGAAGGGUAAUGCGAUUCAGCAAAUCAGCUGGGAAACUUGAAGCGAGCAGACACAUUUAUGUGAUAAUAGAAAAUUAUAUCCCGUGGAAAAAGAACGGGAAAAGGGAAUGUUAGCUUCUCGUGCGUACCACAGCGAGAAGAUAAAACCGUAUGAAAGUUUCGGAUUCGUGUGAAAGUGCGCGGAAUCUUCUCUCGAUUCUGCUACACUCUUGAGAACCAUGAGCAUCUCGUUGGAUAGCGAAGACAAUUGAAAGCAGAAUUGAAUAAAUUUUUACUUUUAGACGAAUUAAAAAAAUAAUUGAUACGAUUUAAUUCUUUAUUUUUCGAUUGUGAAUUUUAUUUAUUCUAAUAAUUUUAAAUUAAAUAAGUAGACGAUUUCUUUUUAUAAAAUAUUAUAAUUGUGGUAAGUUGAGAAUUGUGUAAUUAUCAGGUCGGUGUAAAAAAGAUUUAUUUCAUGGCGGUUAGCUUCCAUAUUUAUCGAUAAUAAAUUUAUCAACAGUUGAAAUAGAGAUUGCACAACUGUUAAUGUCAUUUAUGAACGCGCAAGAAAUUGACACUCUCUUUGACGAAUAUGGUUGUAUCAUCGUGCCAUUUUAAGAGUACCAAGCUUUUCCAGAUGAUUCACCCUAAGCGAGUUUAGAAGCGACGCGUCGUUUAAUUAGAGAGGAAAGUGCGGCAGAAGCGUGGCUAACGAGCGCGAAUGGAAGAGAGUCGAUGACGACGAUGACGAUGACGACGGCGACAACGACGACGAUACAACGUCGAGAACAAAAGGAAACGAGAAUAAAAAAACGAGUCGCGGUGCCAGUUUCGCAAUAUCGCGGCUCGACGGCAAGAUAGAUAAAGAUCGAGAGACGAGCACACUGGCGAAGCUUCUUGCACAUCGUGGGGAUGGAUGCACAGUCCACUGCACGUGGGAAGGUCGUGGCUAUGAAUCGAAGAUCGUGAGAUCUCCGCAAAGAGCGCACUUUCUAUUAGGAUUCACUUUACCUGAGGUUCACCGAGUUGCACCGUGAUGCACCUCGAAAUUGUCGCUGAAAUUCAUCUUCUGAGAAAAUAUAUUAUAGCGAUAAAUUUAUAUCGAUAUAUUUCGAGGCCGCACAAUGUCGUGAUUUAUUCUCAGAAACGGGAGAAAAUUGAUCUUCUUGAGUACUUUACAUGUUAUACUUUCGUGAAAUUGAUUGAAUAGAAACUCCGUCCAUGGUAUAUGAAUAGAAACGUUAGUAAGUGUGGAUGAUCGUAUGGAUUAUAUUUGGAAUCGUGGUAUAAUCGAAAGAUGAUUCGUUUGACUUAAAAGUGAAAAAAGAUAUCGAAUAAAAUAUUUUCCAUUUUUUUGAGAAAGUUAGAUUUGAAAAUUCUUACUUCAAAUCUUUCAAACUUCGAAGAGAAAAAAUUAUUGACUCGUUUAUUUUCUCUGGUUAACGGCCAUCGAUUUCUGCGAGAUUUCACCAAGUAAGUGCCAUCCGCGGAGAAAUUUUAGAAUAAUAAAAUGAAACUAGCCUACUAUUUUGUUCAGAAGUUUUAGCUUCUUUCUUUCUUUCUGCGAGAUAUUCAUAUUUGAAUGACGAAGAAUUGCAACGAAAGGAAAUUUAAUUAUUUCUAAAAUGUAUA
This is a long non-coding RNA of Apis laboriosa (Himalayan honeybee), 1810 nucleotides long. RefSeq lists it as uncharacterized. The record is from RefSeq and is a predicted model, not a curated record. The transcript has 3 exons. NCBI's taxonomy places the organism in Eukaryota, Metazoa, Arthropoda, Insecta, Hymenoptera, Apidae.